UACGAAGGGGGCUAGCGUUGUUCGGAAUUACUGGGCGUAAAGCGCACGUAGGCGGAUUGUUAAGUUAGGGGUGAAAUCCCAGGGCUCAACCCUGGAACUGCCUUUAAUACUGGCAAUCUCGAGUCCGAGAGAGGUAAGUGGAAUUCCGAGUGUAGAGGUGAAAUUCGUAGAUAUUCGGAGGAACACCAGUGGCGAAGGCGGCUCACUGGCUCGGUACUGACGCUGAGGUGCGAAAGCGUGGGGAGCAAACAGG
Molecule: ribosomal RNA, 253 nt
Filed under: uncultured bacterium
Lineage: Bacteria
Description: partial 16S ribosomal RNA
Rfam family: Bacterial small subunit ribosomal RNA
Source: RNAcentral